This is a non-coding RNA of Drosophila melanogaster (fruit fly), 2149 nucleotides long. Lineage: Eukaryota; Metazoa; Arthropoda; Insecta; Diptera; Drosophilidae. The record is from Ensembl.
AAAAAAAAAGAAUUUCUCUUAGACUUUGUAUAUUAAUUUUUAUGGAUAUUUAUAGCCGGCAGCUCUCUCCGUUUAUUUUGUUUGCCCAUUGCGACUUUGUGAAUGCAAAUGCUACGUGUGCCGGCAUUUUUGCUUAUAGUUAUUUGCGCCUUAUUUGUUUAGCGAUUCACCCGUAUUUUGUGGGAAGUAGGGGGCUCCAUUUAACCUUGGGGCUCUGACUCACACCGCACCCCGAUUCAGAUCCACAUCCCCUGACCGACCGGGUCGACUGUACCCGUGCUCUCCGGCACAUUUGCAUAUCUGUCGGAUAGAACUAGGCUAUUAUACAUUUGUAUGUAUGUAUGUACGUGUAUGUAGAUAUAUCGUGAGGCCUCCUAGUCGCUGCUACUUAAUCAGAUAGAUAAAUGAUGCCGCCACCGUUUGGAUGUCGUCAGUCGCCAGACAAACGCCCAGAGCACAGCACCACACAGAUCAUCAGCGAGCAGUCUCCACAUCGCCAGUGGAGGAGAGGCACGGAAACCGGGCCGCCACAUAACACACAGAUAUCCAAUCGCCACAUCUUUUCGAUGUGAGUUCCAAGCUCCGCCGAAGGACCGACCGACCGAAGCAACGCAAUCUGUGAUAAAAGAUAAAGAGCACAUACCAGGAGACAGAUAGUAGACUGCAGCUGUGAUAAAUCUCAACCGGAGACCAAAUAUUUAACUUGGCAAUGACGACGUCUAGCGAUAUGGUGGCGCAGCCAGAUAACCAGAAGAUUCAGAACGAGAACCAGAAAAUCUUGUGGUACGUCAGCAUAGCCCCAUCUUUUUUAUUAAUUGCGAAAGCAUUUUCAAUUGCCUUGCACACGUGCCAUCGAUUCGGGGAAUUAUUACUCUAACAAACCCCCCCACCCCCAGACACAGCCAUAAAUUGCAUUCAUUAGGCAUUGAACCACAUGCAUCCAAUCCAUCUGCUGCUGCUGGUGGUCACUGUUCCCAUUCAGGCCUCUAUUUCGCUCAAUUCACAAUGCUCUGCCAAGUGCGCAGUUUGUUGAUUUAAUUGGCUUGGCAGAAAGGAAACCAACAUAACAACAAAAUGCCUGGCAUAUUUCGCACGUAGUCUGCCGGCAAACAAUACACAAAUGUACAUAUGUAUGUACAAUGUGUGGAAAGCAUUUAUAUAGUAUAUAGGUAUCUGUAUGUAUCUGUGCUGUCCACAUUGAAUGUCUGAUUAACACCUAGAACGAACCAAAUCGAAUCCAAAUGCGAAUAAGUGAAUAAAGAGAGCUGUCCGUCGACAGUCCAGAAACUAUUUAAUAUCACUGUCAUGGAAUUGCUCUCUUUGUAUAAUAUUCGACGAUGCGCUGUGAGGCAAUGAGACUAACCAAACGACUAAACCCAAGUUCCACAUUCAGUUCGUCUGGCCUAACACUGUGUCCUGUCCGUUGAGGUGUUAGCUUAGAUUUCCGCUUUCAGAUCCUCCGCGAAUUGUGAAAUGAAGAGAGCUAUCCGUCGACAGUCAAGUUAAGACCGAUUGUAAUACUGUCAUGGAAUUGCUCUCUUUGUAUAACAUUCGAAAGGCGACGAUUAUAAGAUCGAAUGAAUCGAAUUGGAGUGCUUAAUUUUAAGCCAAACUUGUGAGCGUCCCCCUGGUUAUGGUGUCUAAUCCCUUCCCACCUUUCAGGUGCUUACUUUACUUAGACAACAAACAACGUCUGCCUCUUUCAAAUUCAAGUUUCAAGUGUAUUCUCGGCUGCUCUGCCCGAUAAAUACUUUACAAAAAACAUCUGGAGAAGUUCGACCCGCCCGCUAAUAAUAUGAUGCCCGCAACUUAGAGAAUAGAAAUGCGUUGUUCAGUAGGCAGUUCCUACAGGCCGCCGCGUCCUCGACCGCCGGUUGGUCCUCCCUGCCAUGCUCCGCGUCCGCCGCUGCCGCCGGGAGCUCCUGGCGGUCCACCAGUGCCCCUUCCGCCGCCCGGAGGUCCGCCUCUUCCUCUGCCACGAGCUGUAAGGGAAAUGUCGUUUUUAAUAAUUGCAUUUCGCUGAGGGCCUCACAUACACUGCACGACUGUCUUUAAAAACAAAAUUCAUUUCUAGAUUUCACUGCACAUGGCUUUAUAACAUUUUUUUUUUUAGUUUUUGCUUUCUAAAAAUAAACAUAUACACAAACUU